This is a non-coding RNA of Firmicutes bacterium ASF500, 201 nucleotides long. Lineage: Bacteria; Bacillati; Bacillota. The record is from Rfam.
CUUUUCCUGCUCGGUGCGUGAUGGGCUCUUUUAAACCCACAUUUUUGAAACGGGACGCCCACCUCACGGCGCGGCUUGCAGGCCUCCCGGCCCCCUUAUGAGGUCAGCUGGACGUUGGAAGCAGAUAAACGCUGUGGAGGCGACCCACCUGCCAUUACGUGCAGGUUUUAAACGGGUCCACACGGCCAGAGCGGGGUUAAA